AGCAGACUUCUCCGGUUUCUCCUCAGGAUCUGACCAUCUUCUGUCCUGACAGUGUAAGACCUUGGCUUCACCUCCUCCAGGACUGUGGCUCUUUUAGUCCAGGUUGCGAGCAGGAACAGCAACAAACACACAUGUCCUGGUCUAACUCUCUGUCAGUCUAUAUCACAGUUGGUUCAUCCCUUUGUUUCUAUGGUACAGGACCGUUACAUACUGGAUUUCUUCUGUAUCUUCGGAAUCAGACACUUUUUCUUCAGUCUGAUUUCUGC
Molecule: long non-coding RNA, 266 nt
Organism: Carassius auratus (goldfish)
Lineage: Eukaryota; Metazoa; Chordata; Actinopteri; Cypriniformes; Cyprinidae
Exons: 3
Source: RefSeq, a predicted model, not a curated record